UGAAUACGAGACGCUAAGGCGUCGAAGUAGUGUAUGUCAUACUUCCAAGAAAAGCUUGCACUGUCAUAGAUAAAAAACGCCUGUACCAUAACCGACACAGGUGGGUAGGUAGAGUAUACUAAGGGGCGCGAGAUAACUCUCUCUAAGGAACUCGGCAAAAUAACUCCGUAACUUCGGGAGAAGGAGUGCCUUAUUCGUAAGGUUGCAAUAACAAGAUCCAAUCAACUGUUUAUCAAAAACACAGGUCUCCGCUAAGUCGUAAGACGAUGUAUGGGGGCUGACGCCUGCCCAGUGCCAGAAGGUUAAAGAAGUUGGUUAGCAAUUGCGAAGCUGAUAACUGAAGCCCUGGUGAACGGCGGCCGUAACUAUAACGGUCCUAAGGUAGCGAAAUUCCUUGUCGGGUAAGUUCCGACCCGCACGAAAGGCGUAAUGAUUUGGAUACUGUCUCGGAGAGGGGCUCGGUGAAAUAGACUUGUCUGUGAAGAUGCGGACUACCUGCACCAGGACAGAAAGACCCUAUGAAGCUUUACUGUAACUUGAAAUUGAAAUUGGACUUUAUUCGCGCAGUAUAGGUGGGAGGCGUUGAUUAUAAUCUUGUGGGAUUAUUGGAGCCAUCAGUGAGAUACCACUCUUGUAAUGUUAGAUUUCUAACUUUGAAUCAUUAUCUGGUCAAAGAACAGUUUCAGGCGGGCAGUUUGACUGGGGCGGUCGCCUCCUAAACGGUAACGGAGGCGUACAAAGGUUUCCUCUGAACGGUUAGAAAUCGUAUCUAGAGUGUAAAGGCAUAAGGAAGCUUGACUGUGAGACCUACAAGUCGAGCAGGGACGAAAGUCGGUCUUAGUGAUCUGACGGUACUGAGUGGAAAGGCCGUCACUCAACGGAUAAAAGUUACUCUAAGGAUAACAGGCUGAUCUCCCCCAAGAGUUCACAUCGACGGGGAGGUUUGGCACCUCGAUGUCGGCUCAUCGCAUCCUGGGGCGGUAGUACGUCCCAAGGGUUGGGCUGUUCGCCCAUGAAAGCGGUACGCGAGCUGGGUUCAGAACGUCGUGAGACAGUUCGGUCCAUAUCCGGUGUAGGCGUUAGAAUAUUGAGAGGAGCCUUCUUUAGUACGAGAGGACCGAGAAGGACAUACCUCUGGUGUACCAGUUAUCGUGCCAACGGUAAACGCUGGGUAGCUAUGUAUGGAGUGGAUAACCGCUGAAAGCAUCUAAGUGGGAAGCCCACCUCAAGAUAAGUAUUCUCAUC
Molecule: ribosomal RNA, 1245 nt
Filed under: metagenome
Description: bacterial LSU rRNA
Rfam family: Bacterial large subunit ribosomal RNA
Source: RNAcentral